RNAcentral lists this ribosomal RNA (253 nucleotides) under uncultured bacterium. Its description in RNAcentral is "partial 16S ribosomal RNA". It matches the Rfam family "Bacterial small subunit ribosomal RNA", at positions 524 to 776 of the family's 1533-position model. The record is from RNAcentral.
UACGAAGGGGGCUAGCGUUGCUCGGAAUUACUGGGCGUAAAGCGCGCGUAGGCGGCUUUUUAAGUCAGGGGUGAAAUCCUGGAGCUCAACUCCAGAACUGCCUUUGAUACUGGCGAGCUUGAGUCCGGGAGAGGUGAGUGGAACUGCGAGUGUAGAGGUGAAAUUCGUAGAUAUUAGCAAGACCACCAGUGGCGAAGGCGGCUCACUGGCCCGGUACUGACGCUGAGGUGCGAAAGCGUGGGGAGCGAACAGG